RNAcentral lists this small RNA (403 nucleotides) under Histoplasma capsulatum. Its description in RNAcentral is "hypothetical RNA". RNAcentral also lists the same sequence under 1 other name. Lineage: Eukaryota; Fungi; Ascomycota; Eurotiomycetes; Onygenales; Ajellomycetaceae. The record is from RNAcentral.
UUGCGACCACUUACUUGCACUUCUUGCUACAGGCCAUCUAUAUUCGCUUACAUGGUAUGUUGAUUCAUAUAGCACCUUGUACUCAAUCAAUCCACUUCGUCAAUCUAGCAACCCAGAGAGUUGUGCUGCAAAGUGCGAAUAUACAUACAUUUGCAUCAUUCAACAUGGAAAGCAUUGUAUCCUACGAAGUCGAGCUAUGACUUCGCUUCGAGCAGUGGAACCUGGGGUAAUUCAUCAUUACCCAACCCACUUAAUAAUCCCUUAACCAUCGAAUUCAAGAUCUGGGAGAGUCAGGACUCUGGAACUAUCUCCCGAGGAUGGCAAAUGGGGCUCGGAUUCUCGUCAAAUGUCAAAGGAAAGUUAUUCACAAAUGCAUAUGCAUAUGUGUAUGAUCAAAUGCGUG